Molecule: ribosomal RNA, 301 nt
Filed under: uncultured bacterium
Lineage: Bacteria
Description: partial 16S ribosomal RNA
Rfam family: Bacterial small subunit ribosomal RNA
Source: RNAcentral
CAGCCGCCGCGGUAAUACGUAGGGUGCGAGCGUUAAUCGGAAUUACUGGGCGUAAAGCGUGCGCAGGCGGUUCGUUAAGACAGAUGUGAAAUCCCCGGGCUUAACCUGGGAACUGCAUUUGUGACUGGCGAGCUAGAGUAUGGCAGAGGGGGGUAGAAUUCCACGUGUAGCAGUGAAAUGCGUAGAGAUGUGGAGGAAUACCGAUGGCGAAGGCAGCCCCCUGGGCCAAUACUGACGCUCAUGCACGAAAGCGUGGGGAGCAAACAGGAUUAGAUACCCGCGUAGUCCCUGUCUCUUAUAC